RNAcentral lists this small nuclear RNA (18 nucleotides) under Arabidopsis thaliana (thale cress). RNAcentral describes it as "snRNA_19215". The record is from RNAcentral. Lineage: Eukaryota; Viridiplantae; Streptophyta; Magnoliopsida; Brassicales; Brassicaceae.
GGCGAGAGUAGUACUAGG